UGGAAUUUAUCUAUUCCCUAUAUAUCCUUUUUUGAUUUUUUCCAAAUGAAUAAAGCAGUUGGAAUUUUGGAAAUGACAAUGGGUAUAUUUAUUACAUUAACUAAAGCUUAUUUAUUUCUCUUCAUUUCUAUCACAAUAAGAUGGACUUUACCGAGGAUGAGAAUGGAUCAGUUAUUAAAUCUUGGAUGGAAAUUUCUUUUACCUAUUUCCCUGGGCAAUCUCUUAUUAACAACCUCUUCUCAACUUGUUUCACUAUAAAUAAGAUAAUACAAUAAUAGUAAGAAUAUUUUCAACACAAAAGCUCUCUCAAACAAGAGAAAGAAACAUAUCUUUUUCAUAGAUAUUUAGAAUGAAUAUGUUCCCGAUGGUAACUGGGUUCAUGAGUUAUGGUCAACAAACAAUACGUGCUACAAGGUACAUAGGUCAAAGUUUCAUAACUACCUUAUCCCACACAAAUCGUUUACCUAUAACGAUUCACUACCCUUAUGAAAAAUCAAUUACACCAGAGCGUUUCCGAGGGCGAAUCCACUUUGAAUUUGAUAAAUGUAUUGCUUGUGAAGUAUGUGUUCGCGUAUGUCCGAUAGAUCUACCCGUUGUGGAUUGGAGAUUUGAAAAGGAUAUUAAAAGAAAACAAUUGCUUAAUUAUAGUAUUGAUUUCGGAGUUUGUAUAUUUUGUGGCAAUUGUGUUGAGUACUGUCCAACAAGCUGUUUAUCAAUGACUGAAGAAUAUGAACUUUCUACCUAUGAUCGUCAUGAAUUGAAUUACAAUCAAAUUGCUUUAAGUCGGUUACCAAUCUCCAUAAUGGGAGAUUACACAAUUCAAACAAUUAGGAAUUCGUCUGAAAGUAACAUAUCUUUUUCAUAGAUAUUUAGAAUGAAUAUGUUCCCUAUGGUAACUGGGUUCAUGAGUUAUGGUCAACAAACAAUACGUGCUACAAGGUACAUAGGUCAAAGUUUCAUAACUACCUUAUCCCACACAAAUCGUUUACCUAUAACGAUUCACUACCCUUAUGAAAAAUCAAUUACACCAGAGCGUUUCCGAGGGCGAAUCCACUUUGAAUUUGAUAAAUGUAUUGCUUGUGAAGUAUGUGUUCGCGUAUGUCCGAUAGAUCUACCCGUUGUGGAUUGGAGAUUUGAAAAGGAUAUUAAAAGAAAACAAUUGCUUAAUUAUAGUAUUUAUUUCUCUUCAUUUCUAUCACAAUAAGAUGGACUUUACCGAGGAUGAGAAUGGAUCAGUUAUUAAAUCUUGGAUGGAAAUUUCUUUUACCUAUUUCCCUGGGCAAUCUCUUAUUAACAACCUCUUCUCAACUUGUUUCACUAUAAAUAAGAUAAUACAAUAAUAGUAAGAAUAUUUUCAACACAAAAGCUCUCUCAAACAAGAGAAAGAAACAUAUCUUUUUCAUAGAUAUUUAGAAUGAAUAUGUUCCCUAUGGUAACUGGGUUCAUGAGUUAUGGUCAACAAACAAUACGUGCUACAAGGUACAUAGGUCAAAGUUUCAUAACUACCUUAUCCCACACAAAUCGUUUACCUAUAACGAUUCACUACCCUUAUGAAAAAUCAAUUACACCAGAGCGUUUCCGAGGGCGAAUCCACUUUGAAUUUGAUAAAUGUAUUGCUUGUGAAGUAUGUGUUCGCGUAUGUCCGAUAGAUUUACCCGUUGUGGAUUGGAGAUUUGAAAAGGAUAUUAAAACAAAACAAUUGCUUAAUUAUAGUAUUGAUUUCGGAGUUUGUAUAUUUUGUGGCAAUUGUGUUGAGUACUGUCCAACAAGCUGUUUAUCAAUGACUGAAGAAUAUGAACUUUCUACCUAUGAUCGUCAUGAAUUGAAUUACAAUCAAAUUGCUUUAAGUCGGUUACCAAUCUCCAUAAUGGGAGAUUACACAAUUCAAACAAUUAGGAAUUCGUCUGAAAGUAAAAUAAACAAAGAAAAAUCUUCGAAUUCAAGAACGAUUACUGAUUACUAAACUUUGAUUUUGUCUUUUUGUUAUAAAAAUCUAAUAAUUCUUUAUUAAACUUUAAAAUUAAACUAUAAAGAAAAACUACUGCUUAUUGGAAAUUAUUUCUUAUUUUAAAUCAGACUAGAUUUUCGUGAUAUAAUAUAAUUUAUAACUAUACAGUUUAUACACAAAAAAAUACCCUAAUCCUUUUUUCCUUCCUUGAAUCCUUUAGUUUUAGUCAGUUCAUGAAAAAA
RNAcentral lists this long non-coding RNA (2190 nucleotides) under Triticum aestivum (bread wheat). RNAcentral describes it as "long non-coding RNA (TAES_LNC024852)". Lineage: Eukaryota; Viridiplantae; Streptophyta; Magnoliopsida; Poales; Poaceae. The record is from RNAcentral.